GACAUCUGGAAAGAGACCGGUCGGGCAAGCGCCUGGUGCGGGUCCGCCGACGGGAUAAUGCUCUCAGGCGCAGCGACAGAUGGGGCUCG
This 89-nucleotide unclassified non-coding RNA is filed under the name Rhodopseudomonas palustris BisB5. RNAcentral's name for it is "gcvT element as predicted by Rfam". It matches the Rfam family "Glycine riboswitch aptamer". Rfam says of the family: This family represents the bacterial glycine riboswitch. Lineage: Bacteria; Pseudomonadati; Pseudomonadota; Alphaproteobacteria; Hyphomicrobiales; Nitrobacteraceae. The record is from RNAcentral.